UUGCCAGCAGCCGCGGUAAUACGGAAGGUCCGGGCGCUUAUCCGGAUUUAUUGGGUUUAAAGGGAGCGUAGGCGGGAUGCCAAGCGUGCUGUGAAAAGUCGGCGCUCAACGCGUCCGUGCAGCGCGAACUGGCUUCCUUGAGUGCGCGGAAGGUACGCGGAAUUCGUGGUGUAGCGGUGAAAUGCUAGAUAUCACGAGAACCCCGAUUGCGAAGGCAGCGUGCCGCAGCGUUACUGACGCUGAAGCUCGAAGGUGCGGGUAUCGAACAGGAUUAGAUACCCUGGUAGUCCGCACGGUAAACGAUGGAUGCCCGUGUGGCCCUUUAGGGUGCGCGGCCAAGCGAAAGCGUUAAGCAUCCCACCUGGGGAGUACGCCGGCAACGGUGAAACUCAAAGGAAUUGACGGGGGCCCGCACAAGCGGAGGAACAUGUGGUUUAAUUCGAUGAUACGCGAGGAACCUUACCCGGGCUUGAACUGCGGAGGCCGCGCCUGGAGACGGGCGUUCCCUUUCGGGGCCUCCGCGGAGGUGCUGCAUGGUUGUCGUCAGCUCGUGCCGUGAGGUGUCGGCUUAAGUGCAUAACGAGCGCAACCCCUCUCCGUAGUUGCCAUCGGGUUAUGCCGGGCACUCUGCGGACACUGCCACCGCAAGGUGCGAGGAAGGUGGGGAUGACGUCAAAUCAGCACGGCCCUUACGUCCGGGGCUACACACGUGUUACAAUGGGGCGUACAGAAAGCCGGCCGUCGCGAGGGCGGCCCAAUCCUCAAAGCGCCCCUCAGUUCGGACUGGGGUCUGCAACCCGACCCCACGAAGCUGGAUUCGCUAGUAAUCGCGCAUCAGCCAUGGCGCGGUGAAUACGUUCCCGGGCCUUGUACACACCGCCCGU
This 884-nucleotide ribosomal RNA is filed under the name uncultured bacterium. RNAcentral describes it as "bacterial SSU rRNA". It matches the Rfam family "Bacterial small subunit ribosomal RNA", at positions 505 to 1397 of the family's 1533-position model. The record is from RNAcentral.